This 253-nucleotide ribosomal RNA is filed under the name uncultured prokaryote. Its description in RNAcentral is "partial 16S ribosomal RNA". It matches the Rfam family "Bacterial small subunit ribosomal RNA", at positions 522 to 774 of the family's 1533-position model. The record is from RNAcentral.
AAUACGGAGGGUGCGAGCGUUGUCCGGAAUCACUGGGCGUAAAGGGCGCGUAGGUGGCCCGUUAAGUUGCCGGUGAAAUCCCGGGGCUCAACUCCGGGGCGGCCGGUAAGACUGGCGGGCUCGAGCACGGUAGAGGCAGAUGGAAUUCCCGGUGUAGCGGUGGAAUGCGUAGAGAUCGGGAAGAACACCAGUGGCGAAGGCGUUCUGCUGGGCCGUUGCUGACACUGAGGCGCGACAGCGUGGGGAGCAAACA